RNAcentral lists this ribosomal RNA (462 nucleotides) under uncultured eukaryote. Its description in RNAcentral is "bacterial SSU rRNA". It matches the Rfam family "Eukaryotic small subunit ribosomal RNA", at positions 52 to 494 of the family's 1831-position model. The record is from RNAcentral.
UGCAAGUCCAAGUACACGUCCUUGAACGACGGAAACUGCGAACGGCUCAUUAAAUCAGUUGCGAUCUACUCGGCGUUCCGCGCCGCCGGAUAACCGUAGUAAUUCUAGGGCUAAUACGUGCGAAGCGCCCGAAGCCGCGAGGCGACGGGCGUUCUCGCCGGAUGUAGGAACCGACCCGGGGACCGCCGGGGCAACCCGGCGCCCCGAGACGGGGCGAACCACGGUGAAAUGACGGAUCGUCGGCCCCGCGCCGGCGACUCGCCGAAUGAGUUUCUGACCUAUCAACUCGAGACGGCGGGGUAGAGGCCCGCCGCGGUAACGACGGGUAACGGGGAAUCAGGGUUCGAUUCCGGAGAGGGAGCCCGAGAAACGGCUACCACUUCCAAGGAAGGCAGCAGGCGCGCAACUUACCCUAAUCUCGAUUCGAGGAGGUAGUGACAAGAAAUACCGAUGCGGGACCCU